This 94-nucleotide transfer RNA is filed under the name Cricetulus griseus (Chinese hamster). It matches the Rfam family "tRNA". From Rfam's summary of the family: Transfer RNA (tRNA) molecules are approximately 80 nucleotides in length. Lineage: Eukaryota; Metazoa; Chordata; Mammalia; Rodentia; Cricetidae. The record is from Rfam by way of RNAcentral.
UGGGGUGUGGCUCAGUGGGUAGAGUGCUUGCCUCGCAUGUAGGAAGCCCUGGGUUCCAUCAACAGUAGUGCAUGCCUGUAAACCCAGCACUCAG